This 468-nucleotide ribosomal RNA is filed under the name uncultured bacterium. Its description in RNAcentral is "partial 16S ribosomal RNA". It matches the Rfam family "Bacterial small subunit ribosomal RNA", at positions 28 to 507 of the family's 1533-position model. The record is from RNAcentral.
GACGAACGCUGGCGGCGUGCUUAACACAUGCAAGUCGAACGGAAAGGCCCUGCUUUUGUGGGGUGCUCGAGUGGCGAACGGGUGAGUAACACGUGAGUAACCUGCCCUUGACUUUGGGAUAACUUCAGGAAACUGGGGCUAAUACCGGAUAGGAGCUCCUGCUGCAUGGUGGGGGUUGGAAAGUUUCGGCGGUUGGGGAUGGACUCGCGGCUUAUCAGCUUGUUGGUGGGGUAGUGGCUUACCAAGGCUUUGACGGGUAGCCGGCCUGAGAGGGUGAGCGGCCACAGUGGGACUGAGAUACGGCCCAGACUCCUACGGGAGGCAGCAGUGGGGAAUAGUGCACAAGGGGCGGAAGCCUGAUGCAGCAACGCCGCGGGCGGGAUGACGGCCUUCGGGUUGUAAACCGCUUGCGCCUGUGACGAAGCGUGAGUGACGGUAAUGGGUGAAGAAGCACCGGCUAACUACGUG